This is a non-coding RNA of Arachis ipaensis, 1018 nucleotides long. The record is from RefSeq and is a predicted model, not a curated record. NCBI's taxonomy places the organism in Eukaryota, Viridiplantae, Streptophyta, Magnoliopsida, Fabales, Fabaceae.
AUCUAGUAUAUACUGGGCGUCUUGCUGCAUUGUUGAGUUCAUCCUCAUUCUAGUGAUUUUUAUUUUUUCUGUUGCUGCUUUAGAGAGUAUCUAUUUGUUCCCAUACUUUUAAUUUACCCUAGUUGGAAUAUAUGGAAACAUCUAUCUAAAAGGAUAAAUAAUAAAGAAAUAAUAUUUUAUCUCUUCUACAAUUCCAGGCUUUGUUUGGACUACUUUUGCUUGUGUAUAUACCUACUUUGGAUCCUUAUUCGGGUUAUACCCCUGUUCGGAGUGCCUUGGUUGUUGAUACUGCAUAUGAAGAACUGCCCGGAGGAGAGCAGAUAUGUCCUGAAAGGCAUGCAAACAUAUUGUUAAGAAUCCUUUUUUCUUGGAUGAAUCCUAUCAUGAAUCUAGGAUAUCAAAGACCCCUUACAGAGAAAGAUAUAUGGAAGUUAGAUACAUGGGAUCGGACUGAGACAUUGAAUGAAAAGUUCCAGAGAUAUUGGGUAGAAGAAUCUCGAAGGUCGAAACCUUGGCUUUUAAGAGCAUUGAAUGCAAGCCUUGGUGGGAGGUAUGACCGAUUUGUGUUGAACAUGAUAGAGUGUAGAAGAUAGAUAGAUAUUUUCUGGUGUUACUUUAUGAUCACUUGCAUAAGUUGAGAGUUGAGACCAUCAAUAAUGGCUCAUAAUGAGAGGGCAGAUAUUGAAGUAAAAUGGUGUUUGGCACUGAUAAGUUAAUCUUGGCCGAUAAACUUAGACACCUCUAUCUUCUUCUGUGUAGUAAAAUUAGUUCGUGAUGAUGAAACCACUUAUUGUACAAUAUAUAACUGAAUGUUCUUUACUUCUUUUUUUUUCCUGGCUUUGUUUAUUUUUGUUCAUGUAUCUCAUUUGUGUUUAUGCGUUCAUAUAUCUUUGUGCUUUGGUUUUCUUGUGCUUUACAGGUUUUGGUGGGGAGAAUUUUGGAAGGUAAUGUUCUAUUUCUUUUGUUUAUAUAAUCAUUUCAUUUGGUCGCUUUCAAUAUUUACAUGUUUUAUUAUGUU